RNAcentral lists this ribosomal RNA (1494 nucleotides) under uncultured prokaryote. RNAcentral's name for it is "partial 16S ribosomal RNA". It matches the Rfam family "Bacterial small subunit ribosomal RNA". The record is from RNAcentral.
AGAGUUUGAUCCUGGCUCAGAUUGAACGCUGGCGGCAUGCCUAACACAUGCAAGUCGAACGCGAAAGGGCUUUGGCCCGAGACGAGUGGCGAACGGGUGAGUAAUGCGUGGGAAUCUGCCUAGUAGUGGGGGACAACCCGAGGAAACUCGGGCUAAUACCGCAUACGCUCUACGGAGGAAAGCGGGGUCGGGGCUUCGCGCUAAUGGAUGAGCCUAAGUCGGAUUAGCUAGUUGGUAGGGUAAAAGCCUACCAAGGCGACGAUCCGUAGCUGGUCUGAGAGGACGAUCAGCCACACUGGGACUGAGACACGGCCCAGACUCCUACGGGAGGCAGCAGUGGGGAAUAUUGGACAAUGGGGGCAACCCUGAUCCAGCAAUGCCGCGUGUGUGAAGAAGGCCUGCGGGUUGUAAAGCACUUUCAGUAGAGAAGAAAAGCCUAGGGAUAAUACCCCUGGGUCUUGACGUUACCUACAGAAGAAGCUCCGGCUAACUCCGUGCCAGCAGCCGCGGUAAUACGGAGGGAGCGAGCGUUAAUCGGAAUUACUGGGCGUAAAGCGCGCGUAGGCGGCUUUGUAAGUCGGAUGUGAAAGCCCUGGGCUCAACCUGGGAAUUGCAUUCGAUACUGCAUGGCUAGAGUAUGGUAGAGGGAAGUGGAAUUUCCGGUGUAGCGGUGAAAUGCGUAGAUAUCGGAAGGAACACCGGUGGCGAAGGCGACUUCCUGGGCCAAUACUGACGCUGAGGCGCGAAAGCGUGGGUAGCAAACAGGAUUAGAUACCCUGGUAGUCCACGCCGUAAACGAUGAGAACUAGAUGUCGGGAGGGUUGUUGCCCUUCGGUGUCGCAGCUAACGCGUUAAGUUCUCCGCCUGGGGAGUACGCCGGCAACGGUAAAACUCAAAGGAAUUGACGGGGACCCGCACAAGCGGUGGAGCAUGUGGUUUAAUUCGAUGCAACGCGAAGAACCUUACCUGCCCUUGACAUACUCGGAACUUUCCAGAGAUGGAUUGGUGCCUUCGGGAACACGGUGACAGGUGCUGCAUGGCUGUCGUCAGCUCGUGUCGUGAGAUGUUGGGUUAAGUCCCAUAACGAGCGCAACCCUUGUCCUUAGUUGCCAGCACAUAAUGGUGGGGACUCUAAGGAGACUGCCGGUGAUAAACCGGAGGAAGGUGGGGACGACGUCAAGUCAUCAUGGCCCUUAUGGGUAGGGCUACACACGUGCUACAAUGGUCGGUACAGAGGGUCGCCAAGCCGCGAGGUGGAGCUAAUCCCAGAAAGCCGGUCGUAGUCCGGAUUGGAGUCUGCAACUCGACUCCAUGAAGUCGGAAUCGCUAGUAAUCGCGAAUCAGCAUGUCGCGGUGAAUACGUUCCCGGGCCUUGUACACACCGCCCGUCACACCAUGGGAGUGGAUUGCACCAGAAGUGGGUUGCCUAACCUUCGGGAGGGCGCUCACCACGGUGUGGUUCAUGACUGGGGUGAAGAAAAAAAAAGGUAGCCG